Molecule: non-coding RNA, 75 nt
Organism: Myotis lucifugus (little brown bat)
Lineage: Eukaryota; Metazoa; Chordata; Mammalia; Chiroptera; Vespertilionidae
Source: Rfam
GGCAGUUCUCGGGUGAUGCAUCCCAAAAUCAGGCUCCCUCCUCUCUGGUUCCGGGUGCGUCACCCAAGAACUGCA